RNAcentral lists this ribosomal RNA (440 nucleotides) under Acinetobacter lwoffii. RNAcentral's name for it is "bacterial SSU rRNA". It matches the Rfam family "Bacterial small subunit ribosomal RNA", at positions 338 to 769 of the family's 1533-position model. The record is from RNAcentral. Lineage: Bacteria; Pseudomonadati; Pseudomonadota; Gammaproteobacteria; Moraxellales; Moraxellaceae.
CCUACGGGAGGCAGCAGUGGGGAAUAUUGGACAAUGGGGGCAACCCUGAUCCAGCCAUGCCGCGUGUGUGAAGAAGGCCUUUUGGUUGUAAAGCACUUUAAGCGAGGAGGAGGCUCCCAGUAUUAAUACUACUGGAGAGUGGACGUUACUCGCAGAAUAAGCACCGGCUAACUCUGUGCCAGCAGCCGCGGUAAUACAGAGGGUGCAAGCGUUAAUCGGAUUUACUGGGCGUAAAGCGUGCGUAGGUGGCCAAUUAAGUCAAAUGUGAAAUCCCCGAGCUUAACUUGGGAAUUGCAUUCGAUACUGGUUGGCUAGAGUAUGGGAGAGGAUGGUAGAAUUCCAGGUGUAGCGGUGAAAUGCGUAGAGAUCUGGAGGAAUACCGAUGGCGAAGGCAGCCAUCUGGCCUAAUACUGACACUGAGGUACGAAAGCAUGGGGAGC